CCAGAUGGUGGUCAGCAACAUGAGGCCAGCGAGAAUGCCAAACAGCACACUGCAAGGAGAAAAUAAAGGAAAGAAGUAAGAAAACUACAGGUCACAGUCACAGCUUUCGGCUCAAGCUCUGGCGCAGAAGCUUCUUCGUUGGCUUUGCUUGGAGCAGCUAAAGUUUUGGGUUUCGCUUUGCUUUUGCCACUGGGCAAGAGCCACGUUUGCAAUCCGCCCGUCGGCGCCUCAACCAAGAUGUACAUGCCAUAAGCCAACAGCACGGAGAAGCCAAAGUCCGACCAGAAGCGCAGCAUCUGAUGAAAGAGGAAGAAGACAUAAGUAAGUGUUCGUUCUGCUUGUGUAAGUGUUGAACUGCUCAAUCAAGAUGUGCCAAAUGUAGGCGCUAUACGAGAGCUUCGACAGCGGUUGCCACAGCGGCGAGGAAAGGAAACUGUUGGCCAAUCCACCGUAGCCAUACUUGCAGGCAAACACAACCCAGACCAAGGCCAUUGGCCACGAGAUGCGAGUCAGCGUCACGUAGAAGGCUUCAUUGAGUAUGGGCAGCGAAUAACCAUUGGCGGCGUAUGGAUACAGGCCAAAGAGGCUGGAAAAGAUCAGGGCCAAGCAGGAGAUCCAACCAGCCCAGACAGUCAAUUGAUUCAGCUUGAAGGAUUUUCCGCGAUUCACGUGCAAAAAGUAACCAAAGAGCAGACCAAUUGCCCAUGGCGAGGCUCGAGUGAUAUGAUAUAUUUGAAUACUUACAUGGAGUAUCCCUUGAUCACCAUCAUGCUGAAGAGACAGCCAGCGAGCAGCAACGUGAGCACCACAAUCACAGCGACAGCUUUCUUACCCCACUUGUAGAGCGCCAUGAUCAGGAAGGGAGCAAACAGAUACAUCUGCAUGUCUACGCUCAGAUACCAACUGUGCUCCAAGCACUACAGAAAAGAAAUUGCAUUUUGAAAUUAUAGAUCAACUUUGGCAAUGGAUUUUUAUGAGGAUGGCACUUGUACAUACUUUUCCACGGCGCGCAUGGCAACCAAGACAACGAGCAAACCACUCAAAAAGAAGAAA
Molecule: long non-coding RNA, 1053 nt
Organism: Drosophila nasuta
Lineage: Eukaryota; Metazoa; Arthropoda; Insecta; Diptera; Drosophilidae
Exons: 5
Source: RefSeq, a predicted model, not a curated record